UAUUUUUAUUGUUUCCCUCCGAGUGGGCUGGAAAGGCAGUUUUUUGGAGAAAAGCCCGAGUGUGAAAGGCCUGUGAUGGUCGGUCCCGCCGGUGUCUCAGGGAGGCGGACGGGAUGGCAGGCACCCAGGACGGAGGCCUCGGCCUGGGGCUGCUGUCUUGCCUGCCUCUCCCAGGCUGGGUAACGGGAACGACAAGGUAAGGAAGACUGAAAAAAAUUGGCAGAAUCAGGGCAGGAAUCCAGCAGUCCCGGCAGGGAGAGGGCACCAUGUAAAGCCCCUCUACCUGUCCCCCGAGUCGCACCUCCAAGGUAUGGCAGCUGUCGGGGAGCAGGACAUCGAGGAUCUCCUCCUUGGCGCAUACCUCCAGCCUGCGCUGUCCUCAGGGAGGAAGGGUUUGGCCGGGGGGCGAUUCCCGAUGCCGCAGCAUCCAUCCCUAGGGCUCGCUGCCGGCUGCAGAGGCGCUCCUCCUGGGGUGAGGAGCAGGUGGUUUCUCAGGCCCCCCUUCUAGGAUUCACUGCUCUGAGGAGGUGGCAGCCCUCCCCGAGCUCCAGUCUGAGGAUAAAUACUGCUAAAGGGUGUUUUCCUGCUUCUAAUUUGGCCGAUGCGGGGUUUCGCUCGCAUUUGCAUUCCCUCGGCUUUCCCUGCCAAGGCGGAGAGGCCGUAUAGAUGUUCCCUCUGACUGUGUCGGCUGCACAACGCCAGCUGCUGACGCUGACAUUUAAUAUCUGUAAGUGAGAAAAAAAGAGGCUUCCCUCAACCCUGAAGCGGCAACACUGGUGGCACGGGUAACGACACAGGCUCUCCCGUUUGGCGUGUGGGAAUGCAGUACUAUCAACGAGGGCUGUGAUGCAUCACAGAGUUGGCAACACCCGUCCCUAGAGACCUGGGAAGACUGUCCCUGCUGUCACCUGCAGCAGCGUUAUUAACACUUGACCCUCACUUUCAAGGUUUUAUUUGUAGUUUAUCAGAAAUAGAAACUUCUUUUUCAUGAGAAGAGGGACUUCAGCGCUGUAACUCUCCUAGGAUUUGUCUCUGGACAUGUGUCAUUUGUGCCAUAUUUUGUGCCAGCGCACCAACUAUGCAGUUCACUUCUAAGGAGGCUGCAUUACCUAAAGCCACUGCAACAAUAAACGUCACUUGCAAAUUAAGGUUGACUUUUUUUUUUCCUUAUGAAAGGUUUGAAAGGUAUGAAGGAUCCUUAUACUUGGGGUUGUUGAAAAAGUGUGUCAUAAUUUUAAUUAGAAACUAGUAUUUUGAAAGGCUUAGAAAUAAAUAGCAAAGAUCAGACUGAAAGCUGGUAUAUAAUUUAUAAAGCCAUUCUCGUUGUGUUGAAAAGUUCUUCAUGGGUGAGGAGAGGGGAAAUAAGUUCUCAAUACAUAUGUAUAAAGUCAUAUAAAGUCUUACAGUUCAUAAUUACAGAAUACACUACAAUUCCUAUAGUUUUCCAGAGUAAUUUGUACCUAGAGCUAGUUUCUGAAUAAAACAUCUGUAGUUCACUAUUUUAGCAGUGGUCAGUAUCUAUUACUUUAAAGCCCCUUUAUAGUCCUUCUAACAAAUUGUGGAACAGUAAAAGGAAGCUUACUGCCUUACUUCAGUAAACAGCUGAUGUGUUGAAGCAUGGUAUCUAAUUACCUUUAUUGUUAUUUUCAUUGAGCGUAGCACUCACAUAAAUACUGUGCUAUAUCCCACAAUUUUACUCAUGCAAAUAUUCUUAUUUCAAUCUCGUUGAUGAGUGUUGGCUUGGCUAAAGUGAGGAGGCUUUGGCCCAUUAUGAGCAAUCAUAAAAUUAUCCAGCCAUAGCAUUUAACUUGAUGACCUAUUACAGAAAUGAAUUCUAUAGUUAGGACAUGUGCUACAUAAAAGCAUUUUCUUAAAUUUGCUCUAAAUUUAUUGCUGCCUGAUUUUAUUAUUGUUUUCUCUUUCUAGGGUAAGAAGCCAAAAGAAGAGCUGAAUGACUUUUAGUGCUGACCUUCUUAAACUAAAGUGUCUCAGCCAAAAUGCCUUAACCAAUGUCUUUCAGAUGUUUUCAUCUUUCUGUUUAGUGGCCCUCGUCUUGCAGUCGCACCUGCAUGAGUCAAGCCUUUUAUGUAAAGCAUAUGGGACAGGCUUCUGCACAGACGCUGAAUGGCAAAAUUAUGGCCUAACUCAUGUUUUAUAAUUACUCGGGUGCAUAUAAUGCAUUAAAAAUUACUCUGUGGUUUUUUAAAAUUCUAAAUAUAUAUUUACUUAUAUGUCUCUAUUAGAUAACUCUCCAUUUAUUAUGUAGUAAAUGUAAAAGUAGAUACAUAGUAAAAUCCAGUAUUCAAAGAAAAAUCAAAAGAACGAGUUUAAACCUGAAGUACAAGCCUGAACCCAGAAGACUUUUUUACUUUCACCUUAGUUCUCCACACAUCCAUGGACAUGGACAGGUGCCAGCCUCAAGGAGCAAGUUUGGGCACGCAGCAAUUCCUGGACCAGCCUGCGAGCUCACAGGAGAAGGGGCUGCCCUCGUGUUUGGCAAUGGACAGCUCCCGGGCAGAAUGCUACUCAGCCUGAAUAACGAUGGCAGAAUUAGAUCCAGGCUCCAGUACUGGAAGCCAGACUCUGCAGAGGCUACAAGUGAUAGAUACGAGCAUACCCCUGGAUUUCCAAGAAACAUCACAGAUCUUCUACUAGGGUCUUUAAAAACCAUGCCAAAUGCUCAGUAAUGAUAAGUUGAAAUCCUGCUCUGAACUCAGGGAAAGGAAUUUGUCUUUUGAAAGAUACUCCUUCAGGCACUGGCCAUAAAAACAAAUCAUUCUGGGGGAAGGAUGGUGAAAACAAGUGGAAAACUAACAGUAAUUAACACUGGGAUCUAAUAAGCCCACUUGGAUAAAAAAACCAACAACAGGAAAGCUGAAAAACCUAUUAUUUAUUUCAAUUCAAAAAAGCUUAUUUUUGUUUUGAUAAGAAAUAAAUUUCUGAUUUUUACAAGGCA
Molecule: long non-coding RNA, 2956 nt
Organism: Dromaius novaehollandiae (emu)
Lineage: Eukaryota; Metazoa; Chordata; Aves; Casuariiformes; Dromaiidae
Exons: 3
Source: RefSeq, a predicted model, not a curated record